GUUUAUCUCUCCCUCCCACACCGCAUUAGCCCACCGCCGGUGACCCUUACAGUUGCUCUCCCACCGCCGCACCGGCCAACUCCACUUCAUCUUCAUGACUUUACCAUUUUCUUUCUAUCUCCCACCAUCGGCCACCACUUCUACGGUUCUACAGCCGUUUCCCAAAUCUAGCAUCUCCAGAUCUCCUAUGCCAUUUGCUGCCUGUCUGCAAUGCAUAUUGUAGCCGGCUCGCUCGGGUCCAGGGGCGGGCAACUCUCCACCAAUCUCCACUCACUGUCGUCUCCUUGAAGAAGGUGUAUCCAUAAUUCCAUUGGAUUUUAGAUUUAGUUGUUUUCUUCCAAUUUAAGUUUCUUUUCCUAGGCAUGUUGCUUUUCUGAUUUAGGGAUUUUUUAUUUGGACGGUUGGGUUUGGAAUGAAAACAACUCUGAUUUAGGGAAAAUUGAUUUUUUUAUUUUGAACUUUAUUUUAGCUUUGGGCAACAGAACAAGAAGGGAGGAGUAAUGAUGAUACCUUGAACAUGGAAGCCCAAUUCGAGGAAUUUCUUGGGGGCAAUAGUUUAGCCUGUAUCAUUAAUCGUCUCUAGUGCAAUAUAUCUGAUGCUAAAAAAUGAUGCAGGUAUGACCUUCAAAUAUAGCCUAGGAAUUGGCAGUCUAUUUUCGCUAAUUUGCGAGUCUUCAU
This 678-nucleotide long non-coding RNA is filed under the name Olea europaea subsp. europaea. Lineage: Eukaryota; Viridiplantae; Streptophyta; Magnoliopsida; Lamiales; Oleaceae. The record is from RNAcentral.